CCUACGGGAGGCAGCAGUCGAGAAUCAUUCACAAUGGGGGAAACCCUGAUGGUGCGACGCCGCGUGGGGGAAUGAAGGUCUUCGGAUUGUAAACCCCUGUCAUGUGGGAGCAAAUUAAAAAGAUAGUACCACAAGAGGAAGAGACGGCUAACUCUGUGCCAGCAGCCGCGGUAAUACAGAGGUCUCAAGCGUUGUUCGGAAUCACUGGGCGUAAGGCGUGCGUAGGCUGUUUCGUAAGUCGUGUGUGAAAGGCGCGGGCUCAACCCGCGGACGGCACAUGAUACUGCGAGACUAGAGUAAUGGAGGGGGAACCGGAAUUCUCGGUGUAGCAGUGAAAUGCGUAGAUAUCGAGAGGAACACUCGUGGCGAAGGCGGGUUCCUGGACAUUAACUGACGCUGAGGCACGAAGGCCAGGGGAGCGAAAGGGAUUAGAUACCCUGAUAGUC
RNAcentral lists this ribosomal RNA (446 nucleotides) under uncultured bacterium. RNAcentral's name for it is "partial 16S ribosomal RNA". It matches the Rfam family "Bacterial small subunit ribosomal RNA", at positions 338 to 795 of the family's 1533-position model. The record is from RNAcentral.